Molecule: long non-coding RNA, 948 nt
Organism: Stegostoma tigrinum
Lineage: Eukaryota; Metazoa; Chordata; Chondrichthyes; Orectolobiformes; Stegostomatidae
Exons: 7
Source: RefSeq, a predicted model, not a curated record
AAGGGAUGUUCCAGAUACAGAAAAUCGUCAAACCAUUUACUACAAAGUCCGUUUCUGGGUGGAGUUAGUGGAACCGAAAAAGAUGUCUCCCUCACAGCGUUUGUGACAAAAGAAUUGCAUCGUUCCUUGGCGGCCUUUCAACAGAAGAAUAUUCAGAGAUUUCCCGAGUGAUUCUGAUUUUGGUUCCUGGAAAGCCUCCAUUGUUGGAGGACGAGAAGCCGUAUCCACUUGAAGCAGCACAGGCUUCUGCGAUGACUGUGGAAACCACUGCUUAUGCCUUGCUUCAAGCAUUGUCAAGGAAUGAUAUUGACUAUGCAACACCGAUUGCGAGGUGGCUAACGAUGCAACAGAACUAUGGUGGUGGAUUUCACUCGACGCAGGACACAAUCAUUGCCUUGGAAGCUUCAUCAUGAUAUGACAUUGCAUUUCUGAAGAGGGAAGAAGAAAUCAACAUGCAAAUUCAAUUCCAUGGUUUUGGAAGUCCCAUUGAGAACACGAUUCAUGUGCGCUGGCAUAAUGCUCUGACCGAGAAAGAAUCGAAGCUUCCGCUUGGAAGAAAGAUUCACAUCAAGUUGACUGGUCAAGUAAAUGGGACACUGACUAACCAGACAAUUUGACUGUUUUGAUGAGGAACUUAAAGAUUACGAGUCCCGUCCGUUUGACUCAGAGUUUGGUACCAUAGGUUGGUACGAUCUUCGUUGGAGAAGGAAAAGGGAUGUUCCAGACUCAGAAAAUAGUCAAACCAUUUACUACAAAGUCCGUUUCUGAUUGUGAUGUUGGUUCCUGGAAAGCCUCCAUUGUUGGAGGACGAGAAGCCGUAUCCAAUUGAAGCAGCAGAGGCUUCUGCGAUGACUGUGGAAACCACUGCUUAUGCCUUGCUUCAAGCGUUGUCAAGGAAUGAUAUUGACUAUGCAACACCGAUUGCGAGGUGGCUAACGAUGCAACAGA